RNAcentral lists this microRNA precursor (91 nucleotides) under Canis lupus familiaris (dog). RNAcentral's name for it is "mir-8799 microRNA precursor family". It matches the Rfam family "mir-8799 microRNA precursor family". The record is from Rfam by way of RNAcentral. Lineage: Eukaryota; Metazoa; Chordata; Mammalia; Carnivora; Canidae. RNAcentral also lists the same sequence under 1 other name.
GGGGGAAGGGCCAGAUCCAGGGCUGUGUCCCCGGUGCCCUGGGAUGGGGGCCUGCACCGCGAGAAUCGUGCUCCCGGCCGUUCAGUCUCCU